RNAcentral lists this long non-coding RNA (236 nucleotides) under Cyanistes caeruleus (blue tit). RNAcentral describes it as "lncRNA (ENSCCEG00000014673.1)". Lineage: Eukaryota; Metazoa; Chordata; Aves; Passeriformes; Paridae. The record is from RNAcentral.
AAUAUCAUCCUCUGUUUCAGGGUCACAAUACACAGUACAGUAAAGAUGGAAAUUAAUGCAUGUCAAUUUAUAACUUUGUGCCUGCAAUUUCCUUGAGGAUUGGUCAUUGUGUUUUGGACCUUACAAUGGAAGCCACAUCUUUGUCUUGCCACUGUCACUUUGUUUGCAAGGGCAGUAAUGGAUGGGUUCAUCCUAGAAAGAAAACAACUAAGCAGACUGAGAGAAAGACACCCUGA